Molecule: ribosomal RNA, 475 nt
Filed under: uncultured Bacteroidota bacterium
Lineage: Bacteria; Pseudomonadati; Bacteroidota
Description: bacterial SSU rRNA
Rfam family: Bacterial small subunit ribosomal RNA
Source: RNAcentral
ACGCUAGCGGCAGGCCUAACACAUGCAAGUCGAACGGUAACAGAUCUAGCUUGCUAGAUGCUGACGAGUGGCGCACGGGUGAGUAACGCGUAUACAAUCUACCUUUAACUGAGGGAUAGCCCAGAGAAAUUUGGAUUAAUACCUCAUAGUAUUAUAGAGAGGCAUCUUUUUAUAAUUAAAACUCCGGUGGUUAAAGAUGAGUAUGCGUCCUAUUAGCUUGUUGGUAAGGUAAAAGCUUACCAAGGCUACGAUAGGUAGGGGGCCUGAAAGGGUGAUCCCCCACACUGGUACUGAGACACGGACCAGACUCCUACGGGAGGCAGCAGUGAGGAAUAUUGCACAAUGGAGGAAACUCUGAUGCAGCCAUGCCGCGUGCAGGAUGAAUGCCCUAUGGGUUGUAAACUGCUUUUAUACAAGAAGAAACCUCGGUACGUGUACCGACUUGACGGUAUUGUAUGAAUAAGCACCGGCUAAC